This 447-nucleotide ribosomal RNA is filed under the name uncultured bacterium. Its description in RNAcentral is "bacterial SSU rRNA". It matches the Rfam family "Bacterial small subunit ribosomal RNA", at positions 355 to 825 of the family's 1533-position model. The record is from RNAcentral.
UGGGGAAUAUUGGACAAUGGGCGCAAGCCUGAUCCAGCCAUGCCGCGUGAGUGAAGAAGGCCUUCGGGUUGUAAAGCUCUUUUACCAGGGACGAUAAUGACGGUACCUGGAGAAUAAGCCCCGGCAAACUUCGUGCCAGCAGCCGCGGUAAUACGAAGGGGGCUAGCGUUGUUCGGAAUUACUGGGCGUAAAGCGCACGUAGGCGGAUUGUUAAGUCAGAGGUGAAAUCCCGGAGCUCAACUUCGGAACUGCCUUUGAUACUGGCAAUCUCGAGUCCGGAAGAGGUUAGUGGAAUUCCCGGUGUAGGGGUGAAAUCCGUUGAUAUCGUGGGGAACACCAAAGGCGAAGGCAGCGCACUGGCCAAAAUCUGACGCUCACACACGAAAGCUAGGGUAGCGAAGAGGAUUAGAUACCCAUGUAGUCCCUGAGCGGGCUGGCAAGGCGCAU